RNAcentral lists this long non-coding RNA (268 nucleotides) under Lathyrus oleraceus (garden pea). RNAcentral describes it as "Pisum sativum (pea) long non-coding RNA (PSAT_LNC018142)". The record is from RNAcentral. Lineage: Eukaryota; Viridiplantae; Streptophyta; Magnoliopsida; Fabales; Fabaceae.
AUGUGUAGAGGAUGUAGUUUAGGUUAUGGUUUCGUGGCAAUCUGAGUGGUGGUUGGAACGAGUAAUGGAAGCGCAUGCGUUGCUGUGGCCGAAGCAGUUCCGGGGAGAGGGUGGUCAAGAAUCAGAUUUACGGUGGUGUGAGCUCAUCGAAUCUUCCUCUCUCUCUAUCUCUCUCUCUUCUUCUUCUCUUUUUCACUUUUGUUUCACUUUUUUUGUUUUGAUUGUGAAUUGUUGUUGUAUAUUGUUGUUGUUUUUUUGUGUUGAUGAU